Molecule: transfer RNA, 76 nt
Filed under: Anaerolineales bacterium
Lineage: Bacteria; Bacillati; Chloroflexota; Anaerolineae; Anaerolineales
Also listed under: 1 other name
Description: tRNA-Asn
Rfam family: tRNA
About the family: Transfer RNA (tRNA) molecules are approximately 80 nucleotides in length.
Source: RNAcentral
UCCUCGGUAGCUCAAUUGGCAGAGCGGGUGGCUGUUAACCACUAGGUUCGAGGUUCAAGUCCUCGCCGAGGAGCCA